AAGCAUGUUAGAAGGACACUUCUAAUCAAUUGCUUGUAUCUUUCCCAAGCUUCAUAGAGGGAUUCAGCUUCCUUUUGUUUAAAGGUUUGAAUUUCCACUCUAAGCUU
This is a small nucleolar RNA of Arachis stenosperma, 107 nucleotides long. The record is from RefSeq and is a predicted model, not a curated record. NCBI's taxonomy places the organism in Eukaryota, Viridiplantae, Streptophyta, Magnoliopsida, Fabales, Fabaceae.